This 242-nucleotide ribosomal RNA is filed under the name uncultured Actinomycetales bacterium. Its description in RNAcentral is "partial 16S ribosomal RNA". It matches the Rfam family "Bacterial small subunit ribosomal RNA", at positions 89 to 334 of the family's 1533-position model. The record is from RNAcentral. Lineage: Bacteria; Bacillati; Actinomycetota; Actinomycetes; Actinomycetales.
ACUCGAGUGGCGAACGGGUGAGUAACACGUGGGUGAUCUGCCCUUCACUUCGGGAUAAGCCUGGGAAACUGGGUCUAAUACUGGAUAGGACCAUCGUUUAGUGUCGGUGGUGGAAAGUUUUUUCGGUGGAGGAUGAGCUCGCGGCCUAUCAGCUUGUUGGUGGGGUAAUGGCCUACCAAGGCGACGACGGGUAGCCGGCCUGAGAGGGUGGACGGCCACAUUGGGACUGAGACACGGCCCAG